This 332-nucleotide ribosomal RNA is filed under the name uncultured bacterium. RNAcentral describes it as "bacterial SSU rRNA". It matches the Rfam family "Bacterial small subunit ribosomal RNA", at positions 568 to 899 of the family's 1533-position model. The record is from RNAcentral.
CGCGUAGGUGGUAGUGCAAGUCUGAGGUGGAAUCUUAGGGCUUAACCCUAAAAUUGCCUUGGAAACUGCAUUACUUGAGUCAGUGAGGGGAGGGUAGAAUUCCUGGUGUAGCGGUGAAAUGCGUAGAUAUCAGGAGGAAGGCCGGUGGCGAAGGCGGCCCUCUGGCGCUGAACUGACACUGAGGCGCGAAAGCGUGGGUAGCAAACAGGAUUAGAUACCCUGGUAGUCCACGCCCUAAACGGUGGGCACUAGGUGUAGGGCUCGUAAGGGUUCUGUGCCGAAGCGAAAGCAUUAAGUGCCCCGCCGUGGGGAGUACGGCCGCAAGGUUGAAA